CGAGCUCGGCUCUGCCGCACCCACGCGGGGCUUGGACCCCACCUUCCCGAGGAGGGUGUGGACACCGGGGGAGGUUGGGGAGGCCUC
Cricetulus griseus (Chinese hamster) is the source of this 87-nucleotide microRNA precursor. NCBI's taxonomy places the organism in Eukaryota, Metazoa, Chordata, Mammalia, Rodentia, Cricetidae. The record is from Ensembl.